RNAcentral lists this ribosomal RNA (253 nucleotides) under uncultured bacterium. RNAcentral describes it as "partial 16S ribosomal RNA". It matches the Rfam family "Bacterial small subunit ribosomal RNA", at positions 524 to 776 of the family's 1533-position model. The record is from RNAcentral.
UACGUAGGGUGCAAGCGUUAAUCGGAAUUACUGGGCGUAAAGCGUGCGCAGGCGGUUUCGUAGGUCUGUCGUGAAAUCCCCGGGCUUAACCUGGGAAUUGCGAUGGAGACUGCGAGGCUAGAGUUUGGCAGAGGGGGGUAGAAUUCCACGUGUAGCAGUGAAAUGCGUAGAGAUGUGGAGGAACACCGAUGGCGAAGGCAGCCCCCUGGGUCAAAACUGACGCUCAUGCACGAAAGCGUGGGGAGCAAACAGG